Molecule: ribosomal RNA, 425 nt
Filed under: uncultured bacterium
Lineage: Bacteria
Description: bacterial SSU rRNA
Rfam family: Bacterial small subunit ribosomal RNA
Source: RNAcentral
GGGGAAUUUUGGACAAUGGGCGCAAGCCUGAUCCAGCCAUGCCGCGUGAGUGAAGAAGGCCUUCGGGUUGUAAAGCUCUUUCGGCCGGGAAGAAAUCGUGUUCUCUAACAUAGGACAUGGAUGACGGUACCGGACUAAGAAGCACCGGCUAACUACGUGCCAGCAGCCGCGGUAAUACGUAGGGUGCGAGCGUUAAUCGGAAUUACUGGGCGUAAAGCGUGCGCAGGCGGUUUUGUAAGACAGAUUUGAAAUCCCCGGGCUUAACCUGGGAACUGCGUUUGUGACUGCAAGGCUAGAGUACGGCAGAGGGGGGUGGAAUUCCUGGUGUAGCAGUGAAAUGCGUAGAUAUCAGGAGGAACACCGAUGGCGAAGGCAGCCCCCUGGGCCUGUACUGACGCUCAUGCACGAAAGCGUGGGGAGCAAAC